ACGCUCGACACCUACGGGAGCAGCAGUCGGGAAUAUUGCGCAAUGGAGGAAACUCUGACGCAGUGACGCCGCGUGCAGGAAGAAGGUUUUCGGAUUGUAAACUGCUUUAGACAGGGAAGAAAGAAAUGACAGUACCUGUAGAAUAAGCUCAGGCUAACUACGUGCCAACAGCCGCGGUAAUCUGAGCGGGCUGGCAAGGC
RNAcentral lists this ribosomal RNA (200 nucleotides) under uncultured bacterium. Its description in RNAcentral is "partial 16S ribosomal RNA". It matches the Rfam family "Bacterial small subunit ribosomal RNA", at positions 328 to 539 of the family's 1533-position model. The record is from RNAcentral.